AUUAUCGUCAAUUCUGUCAUUUUCACAGGAUUUGUGAUCGCGAAUCGCGAUCCCGCGAGGGUGAGCUAACCCCAAAAACCCGUCCUCAAUUCAGAUUGUAGGCUGCAAACUUGCCUGCAUGUAGCCGGAAUCGCUAGUAAUCGCUGGUCAGCCAUACGGCGGUCAAUUUGUUCC
Beta vulgaris subsp. vulgaris (sugar beet) is the source of this 174-nucleotide non-coding RNA. Lineage: Eukaryota; Viridiplantae; Streptophyta; Magnoliopsida; Caryophyllales; Amaranthaceae. The record is from Rfam.